This 655-nucleotide unclassified non-coding RNA is filed under the name Hevea brasiliensis (rubber tree). The record is from RNAcentral. Lineage: Eukaryota; Viridiplantae; Streptophyta; Magnoliopsida; Malpighiales; Euphorbiaceae.
UUUUGCAAAAGGUGAGUUAUUUGUCUUUGUUGUUGGUGUUUUUGCUCAUUUUUUAUAAUUUGUUGAUGAAUUUCAUAGUAUGAAGUGCUAGUUUUCCCGAUCUAUAGCUUAUUAUCUUUUUUAUUCUAAUUUUUAUCUAUUUUCAGAAUUAUUUUUAGUAAAAUAUAUAAGUAAUUGGAAAAUAACAUCAAAGAAAGUUUUAAGCUUCAAUAAUGUUUGCUAAGUAUAAUUUUAGGCUUAGGCAAGGUAAAAUUUAAGAAAAAUAAAUAAUUAUGAAAUUAACUCUUGAAAUAGAUUUUCUAAAUUAAAUAGUAAGUUUACAACCUAAUCACAUAGUAAGUUAAUAACCUAAUUACAUAGUAAGUUUAUAACGUAAGCUAAUGAUCAAAGCUUCCAGUCCCAGUCCUAGGAUCAAAGUCAAGAUAAUCAAGAAUCUUCUAGAUAAUCAUUUUGGUGGUAAUAUGGUUAGUUGUUUACCAUCUUAGUUAUUUUGGUUUAAAAUUGAUUAAUACUAAUGAUGCAUAAGAAUGGUGGAUUUAAUGUCUUUAUUUGAUAUAUUUGUGCUUAUUAUUUAGUUGUAUAUCUUAAUUUUAAUUAUAUCUUCAAAUAUUUAUUCAUUUUAUAAACUUUGCAAUUUUUUUUUUUUUUUUUUUUU